RNAcentral lists this ribosomal RNA (492 nucleotides) under uncultured bacterium. RNAcentral's name for it is "partial 16S ribosomal RNA". It matches the Rfam family "Bacterial small subunit ribosomal RNA", at positions 29 to 507 of the family's 1533-position model. The record is from RNAcentral.
AGUGAACGCUGGCGGUAGGCCUAACACAUGCAAGUCGAACGGCAGCACAGUAAGAGCUUGCUCUUACGGGUGGCGAGUGGCGGACGGGUGAGGAAUACAUCGGAAUCUACUUUUUCGUGGGGGGUAACGUAGGGAAACUUACGCUAAUACCGCAUACGACCUACGGGUGAAAGCAGGGGAUCUUCGGACCUUGCGCGAUUGAAUGAGCCGAUGUCGGAUUAGCUAGUUGGCGGGGUAAAGGCCCACCAAGGCGACGAUCCGUAGCUGGUCUGAGAGGAUGAUCAGCCACACUGGAACUGAGCCACGGUCCAGACUCCUACGGGAGGCAGCAGUGGGGAAUAUUGGACAAUGGGCGCAAGCCUGAUACAGCCAUACCGCGUCGGUGAAGAAGGCCUUCGGGUUGUAAAGCCCUUUUGUUGGGAAAGAAAAGCAGCAGGUUAAUACCCCGCUGUUCUGACGGUACCCAAAGAAUAAGCACCGGCUAACUUCGUG